GUGUGUUUACAUGAGGAAUAAGCCAGAGGCUGGGAGUCUUUCUGAUCAUACUGCAUUGAGCAAGUGGGAGGAGUUCUGGAUGUGGAAUGCUGGAGCCACAGUCUUACCUUCUCCUGGGGUCUGAAGAUUUCCUCUCUGCCCUCCCUGCUCUUCAAUUGCCAUCAUGAAGCUCCUGGCGUUCCUGGUCCUGGUGGCCGUUUCCACCUUCCUGGUCUCUGGCCAGAAUGCAACGGAUGCUCCCUCUGACACCUCUUCUGCUGCCUCCACUGCUGCCGUGACCACUGCCCCUGCUUCCACGACCUCUGCUGCCAGCACCACUGCUGCUACUACCAGGAAGAACCUUCUUUCAGGUAUAUUCGAUCAGAUAAGGAAAAUCCUGGGAAAAUGAAACUCAGAAACUUUUAUGAGAUGGAAUCAGACUGGGCCCUCCGCACGUGAUCCCGCUGGACUGGGCCAGAAUGUCCCUUCAUCUGAUUUAAUGCAACUACUUACCAUGCCUACCUUCUCUUUCUUACCUCUAAUCAGUUUAUCUGCUUUCAAAUAAAGAUUAAUAAUGAGCAACAUCAAAAA
This is an RNA transcript of Equus quagga, 570 nucleotides long. It is a transcript of the gene named mucin like 1, with no coding region annotated. The transcript is spliced from 6 exons. The record is from RefSeq and is a predicted model, not a curated record. NCBI's taxonomy places the organism in Eukaryota, Metazoa, Chordata, Mammalia, Perissodactyla, Equidae.